RNAcentral lists this non-coding RNA (74 nucleotides) under Herbaspirillum seropedicae. Its description in RNAcentral is "Fluoride sequence". It matches the Rfam family "Fluoride riboswitch aptamer (crcB RNA motif)". The record is from RNAcentral. Lineage: Bacteria; Pseudomonadati; Pseudomonadota; Betaproteobacteria; Burkholderiales; Oxalobacteraceae. RNAcentral also lists the same sequence under 1 other name.
UGCGCCGCAGGAGAUGGCAUUCCUCCUCAAACCGCCGCCAAGUCCAGCUUGGGGCUGAUGAUGCCUACAGUGAC